CAGUCGUACUUGCGGAUAAUCAACCUUUAGAUGUGAUUCUGUGGAGCGUGAGGAGCUUAACCGCCUUCAAGUUUUGCAUAUUCGUGCACAUUUGGUGUACUUGUCCGUGUGGUGGGUUAACAUCAAUUUCGGUCGUCAUAAAAUGAUUGGAGGAAUGUAGCUUUGAUCUCGUAUCGAAGUGUUAUAGAC
Molecule: ribosomal RNA, 189 nt
Filed under: Glomus sp. (unid)
Lineage: Eukaryota; Fungi; Glomeromycota; Glomeromycetes; Glomerales; Glomeraceae
Source: RNAcentral